RNAcentral lists this ribosomal RNA (75 nucleotides) under Candidatus Zixiibacteriota bacterium. RNAcentral's name for it is "partial 23S ribosomal RNA". Lineage: Bacteria; Pseudomonadati; Candidatus Zixiibacteriota. The record is from RNAcentral.
GAUAGGUCGCAGGUCGAAGGCCCGUAAAGGCUGUAGCCGAGCGAUACUAAUAAGCCGUGAGGCUUGACCUUAAAA